AGUAUUACUGUUUUGUGGACUAAUGAAAUAGAAGUCAAUAUGUUCUUGCUCAAUCCUGUGGUGCCUUGAAGGUGUUAAGAUUGUCAUGCUCAGCCUAAGCAAUUUGUGACAGUAAUUUAAAUUUCAAAAUGACUGAGUGACGUUUUUUCGACGCACUGGUCAACACCACCAUAGUGAAUCACAUGACUUUGAGUAAGUAUACACCAGC
This 208-nucleotide long non-coding RNA is filed under the name Mytilus galloprovincialis (Mediterranean mussel). Lineage: Eukaryota; Metazoa; Mollusca; Bivalvia; Mytilida; Mytilidae. The record is from RNAcentral.